UGGGGAAUCUUCCGCAAUGGACGAAAGUCUGACGGAGCAACGCCGCGUGAGUGAAGACGGCCUUCGGGUUGUAAAGCUCUGUUAUUCGGGAAGAACGAUUCGUUUGUGAACAAUGAACGGAAGUGACGGUACCGAAAGAGAAAGCCACGGCUAACUACGUGCCAGCAGCCGCGGUAAUACGUAGGUGGCAAGCGUUGUCCGGAAUUAUUGGGCGUAAAGAGCGCGUAGGCGGUAUGGUAAGUCUGUCUUAGAAGUGCGGGGCUUAACCCCGUGAGGGGACAGAGACUGUCAUACUGGAGUCUCGGAGAGGAAAGCGGAAUUCCUAGUGUAGCGGUGAAAUGCGUAGAGAUUAGGAAGAACACCGGUGGCGAAGGCGGCUUUCUGGACGAGCACUGACGCUGAGGCGCGUAAGCGUGGGGAGCGAACAGG
RNAcentral lists this ribosomal RNA (429 nucleotides) under Fusobacteriota bacterium. Its description in RNAcentral is "Fusobacteria bacterium partial 16S ribosomal RNA". It matches the Rfam family "Bacterial small subunit ribosomal RNA", at positions 355 to 776 of the family's 1533-position model. The record is from RNAcentral. Lineage: Bacteria; Fusobacteriati; Fusobacteriota.